This 426-nucleotide ribosomal RNA is filed under the name Lingulaulax polyedra. RNAcentral describes it as "Lingulodinium polyedra partial 16S ribosomal RNA". It matches the Rfam family "Bacterial small subunit ribosomal RNA", at positions 1130 to 1522 of the family's 1533-position model. Lineage: Eukaryota; Dinophyceae; Gonyaulacales; Lingulodiniaceae. The record is from RNAcentral.
UUCUUUCACUUGGGGGACAGGCAUCUGUGAUUUAUCUGUGAUUUGUCAUUUGAUGUGCGCCAAUUUUAUGUUUUCUGCAUUUGGUACAGGCAUCUGUGAUUUUCAGAUUGAGUAACGUCGAGUCAUUAUGCUCUCAUUUUUGGAGAUAUUCAUGUGUUACAAAGAAAGUUAUAGGUUUCCUUUGAAAAUAGGAUUCUCAACAAUUAUCGUUCUAAUUGAAAAUUGAAAUGUUUUGAUGAAGGAGGAAUUAUUAGGAAUCAUUGGUUAGUUAUUCAAUGGUGGACAGGAUAUAAGUUUUGUACAUACCGCCCGUCAAGCAAAAAGCAGAGUUGAAUAUGAAAAUGGCAUAAAAUAAAAGCUAUUUUUUGUGCUUUCUAAUUUGUGUUAAGUCGAAACAUGGUUGCCAAUAAGGAAUUAUUGGCAGGA